RNAcentral lists this ribosomal RNA (419 nucleotides) under bacterium. RNAcentral describes it as "partial 16S ribosomal RNA". It matches the Rfam family "Bacterial small subunit ribosomal RNA", at positions 355 to 776 of the family's 1533-position model. The record is from RNAcentral.
UGGGGGAUAUUGCACAAUGGGCGAAAGCCUGAUGCAGCGACGCCGCGUGGGGGAUGAAGGCCUUCGGGUUGUAAACUUCUUUUGCUCUGAACAAGGCGCACCAUGGGGUGUGUUGAGUGUAGGGGUUGAUUAGCGCCGGCUAACUACGUGCCAGCAGCCGCGGUAAUACGUAGGGCGCGAGCGUUGUCCGGAAUUAUUUGGCGUAAAGGGCUUGUAGGUGGCUGGUUGCGUCUGUCGUGAAAGCUCAUGGCUUAACUGUGGGUUUGCGGUGGGUACGGGCUGGCUUGAGUGCAGUAGGGGAGGCUGGAAUUCCUGGUGUAGCGGUGGAAUGCGCAGAUAUCAGGAGGAAUACCGGUGGAGAAGGCGGGUCUCUGGGCUGUUACUGACACUGAGGAGCGAAAGCAUGGGGAGCGAACAGG